RNAcentral lists this ribosomal RNA (768 nucleotides) under uncultured marine bacterium. Its description in RNAcentral is "bacterial SSU rRNA". It matches the Rfam family "Bacterial small subunit ribosomal RNA", at positions 57 to 860 of the family's 1533-position model. The record is from RNAcentral.
GCAAGUCGAAGGUGAAGUUAGACUUCGGUCUAACAGAAACUGGCGCACGGGUGAGUAACGCGUGGGGAUAUGCCCAAAGGUACGGAAUAACCGUUGGAAACGGCGGCUAAUACCGUAUGCUCCCUCAGGGGAAAAGCUUCGGCGCCUUUGGAUUAUCCCGCGUCCGAUUAGCUUGUUGGUGAGGUAAAGGCUCACCAAGGCUCCGAUCGGUAGCUGGUCUGAGAGGACGAUCAGCCACACUGGGACUGAGACACGGCCCAGACUCCUACGGGAGGCAGCAGUGGGGAAUAUUGGACAAUGGGGGCAACCCUGAUCCAGCCAUGCCGCGUGAGUGAAGAAGGCCCUAGGGUUGUAAAGCUCUUUCAGCGGGGAAGAUGAUGACGGUACCCGCAGAAGAAGCCCCGGCUAACUCCGUGCCAGCAGCCGCGGUAAUACGGAGGGGGCUAGCGUUGCUCGGAAUUACUGGGCGUAAAGGGCGCGUAGGCGGACUUUCUAGUCAGGCGUGAAAGCCCCGGGCUUAACCCGGGAACUGCGUUUGAUACUGGAAGUCUAGAGUUCUGGAGAGGGUGGUGGAAUUCCCAGUGUAGAGGUGAAAUUCGUAGAUAUUGGGAAGAACACCGGUGGCGAAGGCGGCCACCUGGCCAGACACUGACGCUAAGGCGCGAAAGCGUGGGGAGCGAACAGGAUUAGAUACCCUGGUAGUCCACGCCGUAAACGAUGUGUGCUAGACGUCGGGCAGCUUGCUGUUCGGUGUCGCAGCUAACGCGU